Molecule: ribosomal RNA, 253 nt
Filed under: uncultured bacterium
Lineage: Bacteria
Description: partial 16S ribosomal RNA
Rfam family: Bacterial small subunit ribosomal RNA
Source: RNAcentral
GACGAAGGGGGCUAGCGUUGUUCGGAAUUACUGGGCGUAAAGCGCGCGUAGGCGGUCUUUCAAGUCAGGAGUGAAAGCCCCGGGCUCAACCCGGGAAUAGCUCUUGAUACUGUUGGACUUGAGUCCGGGAGAGGAUAGUGGAAUUCCCAGUGUAGAGGUGAAAUUCGUAGAUAUUAGGAAGAACACCAGUGGCGAAGGCGGCUCACUGGUCCGGUACUGACGCUGAGGUGCGAAAGCGUGGGGAGCAAACAGG